Musca domestica (house fly) is the source of this 399-nucleotide long non-coding RNA. RefSeq lists it as uncharacterized. The transcript is spliced from 2 exons. NCBI's taxonomy places the organism in Eukaryota, Metazoa, Arthropoda, Insecta, Diptera, Muscidae. The record is from RefSeq and is a predicted model, not a curated record.
CUGCUAAUCACAAAGAAUCGAUAGCAAAUUGUUUGCUAAUCAUCGUAAAAUGAUAACCCAUAUCUUAAACAUCUGUUGCUGUGUUGUCGGCCGUUUUGUUUUGAUUCCUUUUGUGUUGUCCGCCUUUCCCUUUUGAUUCCAUCUUUAUUUCGAUUUUCUCUCUGUGCUGUCUUUCUUUUCAGUGUUGCCAUAUUGUAGUGUCCUUUGUUCGUUACUUCUUUUUCUUUUCUCGGUGGCGUCGGUUGAAACAAAUAGAACAAAUGUGUAUAUGUGUGAUUUGAGAUUGUGCGUGAUUUAAAAGACUAAAAAAACAAUAAACAAAACCCGACCGCCAACAUAACCUCCAAUUAAUGGUCCAUGGAUAGAAAAGCCAUAUAUGUGUCUCCAGCAACUCGAGAA